UUCCUCCCCCCACCGAGAUUUCCUCCAUCUCCCCUGAGUCGCUCCCCCACGCUCUCCCUCUCUCAUCCGCAAGCGUCGGCUAGGGUUCCAUCGCCGCCCACCGUCCCCGAUGCCACCCACAGUACGUAGCUCGACCUCGUCCACCCCUCACAAGCGCGGCCACCCUCCAAGUUGCCGACCUCCAUGAUGCUAUGUUCCACGACGCCCUUUUCCUGGAAGACGCUAUGUUCCCGAAGGUCGCCGCUACCCUGCCCCUCACGAGGACGAGGACGCCGUCGCCCCUCAUCCAGUUCGACGCUGUUUUCCAGGAAGCCUCCGUGUUCCAGGAGGCCGUCUCCGGCCUGCCAGUCACGAGGACGCCACCGCCCCUCACCCAACUCGACGGCGUAUUGCUACUACAACACGGCGGGAUAACAUCACUACACAUGGAGGGUACCUGAAAUUGGUUGCAAUUGUGCACAUUUUUUAACAGUUCUUCACACGGAAGAUAUAGAUUUGGUAUCCAACUGACCAACUCAUCUCAAAUACUAUGAAGAAAUGAGUUUACAAGAUCUAAAAUACUGUUGGAGAAAUUACAUGAAUAAUUCAAUGUGAAACAUCACAGCUUGCUCUGCAGGAUUAUGUUCGUAAUCAGGGAUAUAUGUCUAUGCUCUCUUAGGAAUGGAUUUCUUUGCUUUCAUGAACGGGUCAGAUACAUGGAGAGCUCCCGAAUUAGUCUCUUCUAUAGCAAUGUCAAUUUGUCUUGGGUAAAUGAGAGCCAAUGGGUUUCUGUAACACCAAUUUUGGUAAGCCUACAUAAUGGUUAGAAUGAGUUAUGCAACUGAUAAAUCAAAAUUCGCAAGCACUC
Lolium rigidum is the source of this 847-nucleotide long non-coding RNA. RefSeq lists it as uncharacterized. The transcript has 3 exons. Lineage: Eukaryota; Viridiplantae; Streptophyta; Magnoliopsida; Poales; Poaceae. The record is from RefSeq and is a predicted model, not a curated record.